UAACGACUUUGUUACAAGUCUCAACUCGCGACUCGAGCGGAUAAUAAUUUACUCACGUUUCUCGAUUUCGACUGCAAUCACGCUUCUUGGUCACCACUCAUCUCUCAAUUCAUUUCAUUUCUUUUUAUCACCUCUCAAUAUCCCUACUACGCACGCGUUCGUUAGACUUUCGCGACCGUGGUCACGCACGCUUUCUUUCGUGUUUGGCGAAAGGACCGUAGGGAUAUCGAUAGCUCAUUAGGCCUGUCGACGCUUACCCUUCGUCGUGACCUUGCUUAUGUUUUGUCGGUCUCUCGUAAACAGUCUAUGUGGUAUACUAUGUACCGAUGAAACCGUUGGAAAGUUCUUUGCCGUCGAAUGCCGCUACAUAUCACUUUGGAUGAUUAUUAUAACAUAAGCGAUUUUUCAAGGUGAAUUAUACCUUGCACCAGAUUUUUUGGUACCACCAAAUAGUGAUUAUGAUGCAUAUCAUCAGUACGUCGAUAACUACUUACCUGCUGAAAGUCCUGUUCUGUAUGGACUUCAUCCCAAUGCAGAAAUUGGGUUUUUAACACAAACUGUGGAAAAUCUGUUUAAAACGUUAUUGGGUAUACUAACAAGAACUGCCAGCGAUACAACAAGCGGAGAUAUUUCAAAAGAAGACAAAAUAAAAGGACAAAUAGAAGACUUAUUGGACAAACUACCAGAAGAAUUCAAUAUGCUAGAACUUUACAGCAAGGUGGAAGAUCGUACACCAUUUGUCACAGUUGCUUUACAAGAAUGCGAACGCAUGAAUCUACUGUGUGAAGAACUUAGAAGGUUAGGCUUAAAAGUAAUGACAAAUAUUUAUGCAUUUUUACAUUUUUACAUUUUACGCAAUCGCACACAUGAUCCCUCGCAUGCACGACAUAUACAGAAGGCUAUAUGUAACUAGGGUAAACUACAGUUCAGAAACAAUAUAAGAUAGCAAACCAACACUGUGCCCGGAUUUAUGGGCAGGAGUUAUCCCCCACUAAUUUCUAGAAUUGUUUGCUCGUAAUAAGAAAUAUACUAAGAAAUAAUUUUAUCUAUUCUGUCUUGCACUGUCUGUUUCUAACCUCUAUCAGAGAGGAAAUUUCUCUCUGCCCCUACCUUCGGUGCACGCAUUGUAUAGACCUGUAGAGUAAGUGCGAAUUUUAAUAAUUUAAUAUUUAUAUAUUUUAUUAUAAUUUGAUAAUUUAAUAUAAUAAUUAAGAUAAUUUGGCCCAAUUCGAUAUUUGAAUCUUUUUCCAUA
Bombus terrestris (buff-tailed bumblebee) is the source of this 1252-nucleotide long non-coding RNA. RefSeq lists it as uncharacterized. The transcript is spliced from 4 exons. The record is from RefSeq and is a predicted model, not a curated record. NCBI's taxonomy places the organism in Eukaryota, Metazoa, Arthropoda, Insecta, Hymenoptera, Apidae.